This 460-nucleotide ribosomal RNA is filed under the name uncultured bacterium. RNAcentral describes it as "partial 16S ribosomal RNA". It matches the Rfam family "Bacterial small subunit ribosomal RNA", at positions 338 to 795 of the family's 1533-position model. The record is from RNAcentral.
CCUACGUGAGGCUGCAGUGAGGGAUAUUGGUCAAUGGGCGCGAGCCUGAACCAGCCAAGUAGCGUGAAGGAUGACUGCCCUACGGGUUGUAAACUUCUUUUAUAAAGGAAUAAAGUGAGGCACGUGUGCCUUUUUGUGUGUACUUUAUGAAUAAGGAUCGGCUAACUCCGUGCCAGCAGCCGCGGUAAUACGGAGGUUCCGAGCGUUAUCCGGAUUUAUUGGGUUUAAAGGGAGCGUAGAUGGGUUGUUAAGUCAGUUGUGAAAGUUUGCGGCUCAACCGUAAAAUUGCAAUUGAUACUGGCAGUCUUGAGUACAGUUGAGGUAGGCGGAAUGCGUGGUGUAGCGGUGAAAUGCUUAGAUAUCACGAAGAACUCCGAUUGCGAAGGCAGCUUACUAAACUGCCACUGACAUUGAUGCUCGAAAGUGUGGGUAUCAAACAGGAUUAGAUACCCCAGUAGUC